Molecule: ribosomal RNA, 465 nt
Filed under: uncultured ammonia-oxidizing bacterium
Lineage: Bacteria
Description: bacterial SSU rRNA
Rfam family: Bacterial small subunit ribosomal RNA
Source: RNAcentral
GGAGAAAAGCAGGGGAUCGCAAGACCUUGCGCUUUUAGAGCGGCCGAUGUCUGAUUAGCUAGUUGGUGAGGUAAAGGCUUACCAAGGCGUCGAUCAGUAGCUGGUCUGAGAGGACGACCAGCCACACUGGGACUGAGACACGGCCCAGACUCCUACGGGAGGCAGCAGUGGGGAAUUUUGGACAAUGGGGGAAACCCUGAUCCAGCCAUGCCGCGUGAGUGAAGAAGGCCUUCGGGUUGUAAAGCUCUUUCAGCCGGAACGAAACGGUCACGGCUAAUACCUGUGACUACUGACGGUACCGGAAGAAGAAGCACCGGCUAACUACGUGCCAGCAGCCGCGGUAAUACGUAGGGUGCGAGCGUUAAUCGGAAUUACUGGGCGUAAAGCGUGCGCAGGCGGUUUUGUAAGUCAGAUGUGAAAUCCCCGGGCUUAACCUGGGAACUGCGUUUGAAACUACAAAGCUAG